GGAGGAUUGCUUGAUUCUGGGAGAUGGAGGUUGCAGUGAGCUGAGAUCACGCCACUGCACUACAGCCUGGGUGACAGAGUGAGACCCUGUCUC
This 93-nucleotide microRNA precursor is filed under the name Pan troglodytes (chimpanzee). Its description in RNAcentral is "miRNA (ENSPTRG00000043083.1)". Lineage: Eukaryota; Metazoa; Chordata; Mammalia; Primates; Hominidae. The record is from RNAcentral.